Molecule: non-coding RNA, 27 nt
Filed under: Mus musculus (house mouse)
Lineage: Eukaryota; Metazoa; Chordata; Mammalia; Rodentia; Muridae
Source: RNAcentral
UAGCUGCUAUGUGUUGGAAGAAAGCCC